CACGCAGGGACCCCGAUGUGGGACUCAAUCCCAGAACUCCGGGAUCACUCCCUGAGCCAAAGCCAGUCACUCAACCACUAAGCCAUCCGGAUGUCCUCCUCUUCUGCCUUUAAAAAAGCCCUGAUCAUCACUCUCAGGGAUCAGUACCAGCAUCAGUCUAGUUGUAUAAACUGAAAAUGGUGGUGCUGCCUGAAGUCCCGUACUGUAUCUCGAACCUGUACCCUUUCCUUUGGGGAAGUGGUUUUCAUUUUAACACCAUCUUGCCAAAGGAUGUAGCAUCUGGAAGGGUUUCUUCUGAAAUACUUCCUGGUUAUCUCCCACUGCUGCCAAGUGCUCUUGGAACCUGUGCUGAAACACCAGCGAGGGGUGGAGAUGCUCAACACUCUCUGAAGUUAAUUCCCAGUGAGGAGAUUCUGCGCGCCCACAUCAUUUUAACGGCUACAGAAAUGACAACUUGCUGGGACACUUGCAGGUUUUGCUGAGAUGCAAAAGACAAGUCCUUCCUGGUAGGACUCCUCCCUGGUUUCCCCCAGCUGCUUCAUGUGUUCACGGCUGUCCCCAAUCCAUUAGCACAAUGCCUGGUACAGGGCAGACAUUAAUAUGAAUUUGUUGAAUGAAUAAAGUGGUAUAAUCCUAAACAUUCACUAGACCAGCUGUCUUGAGUAAAAGCUGACAUUGCACAGUAAACACAGUCAUGAGACGAGAGUAGAGACAAAUGGUUUAUUUGGGAACAAGAAGUAAAAAGGAAUUUUUAAUUCCUCUUCUCUAUUCUCGUAGCUGAACUGAACUGUGAUCGUCAAACACACGAGAACUCCCCUGCAGUCCUUGAACUUGUGCAAGAUGCAGAGAGGCCUGAGUUACAGGACUUGCAGUGAUCCUUUUCUAGACAGAAGUGCCAGCUGUCGUGCUCUGUAAUGUUUCAGGGGUAGCUCCACUGUCUUUCUUGUCUUCAGGUUUCAUGGCAGGAAACAGAAGUACUUCCUGCAAGAGAGAAAACACACUUUGAGGGCCCAAACCAGCCAAGUUCUCCAUCUGGAAAGGUGACUUCCUCCAGUGAAGCUCAUGGCUUUAACCUUCAUCUCUGCUGAAGUCACCAAGAGAUGCAGACAAUGACAAAGACCUGGGUUCAGGCUACACUGUCUAAGGAGUAGGUACAUGAGGCAACACAAUUCCUUUGCUUCCCACCCUACACUUCCUUACCUUAGCCUGUUCUUCAAAUAGCUGCCGCUGCCGCACAGGGUCGUUGAGCUCGGUGUAGGCGUUGCAGAUUUCCUUCUUCAUGACAAACAGCUCAAAGCGCUCAGUCAGACCCUCUUUAGAGCGGUGCCUGGGGACAGGAGCCCAAAGGGGAGGGCUGAAUAUACAGGUUCACCAUAACAUCUGUUACAAAUGCAAGAGUUCCUGAAUUCUAGCUGACUCAUAUGUGUUGUACAUGGAGACCUGAGGCCCGUGAUGCAUUCUGGCACCAAAUCAUUUGGUACGGUAGUGAGGAGGGUGAGAGCCACAGAAGCUUUGAUCAUCUUCACAGCACACCUGUGUGGGAAACGGUUGUACUGAACCAUACCUCCUAUACUCAUGCUCUUCUGUGCCCCGUCACACUGACUCUGGGCUGCCCAUAUGACUUGCUUUGGCCAACUGGACCUCAGCAGAGGCUUGAUAUAUGCUUGCACAUUGGGGUUUGUUCUUUUGGACUCCUUCCUCCUCUUGGAACCUAGCUACUAUGUAAGGAAGCCCAGGCUACACUGCCAGAGAGAGGCUACAUGAGGAAGCUGUGGAGCACGAGAACCCCUGUGGAGAAGAAACAAGGUGCCUGAGUUCCUAGUUACAGCCACUUGAGUUACCUUAGCUACCUAGCUAUCACUCUGUAGAGCAGAAAGACUACCCGAUGAACCCACAAACUCUUGAGAGUUGUUUCAUACCACUAAAUUAUAAAGUUGUUACACAGCAAUAGGUAACUGAAAUACCAUGUUUUAUCUUACCAUUUAGCCAAAGGGCUCAUUAUCUGCGGGUGAUCACAGAUGAAUGUAGGAUUGAUGCAUGUCGUUUCCAGGAACUCCCCGACAAGCUUAAGGAGAAAGCAGAGCUGGAGAUCCUUUCUGAAUGGCAUUUUGAUUGUCCCAGUCUUGGAGGAGGACUCCACUCCUACCUACUACCUGAUGCUAUAGGGGUUUAUCCUAAGCUUCUCUAUGGCUGGGCUUUCCUGAGAGGCUGCAGAAGUUGGUGCUCCACAGUGGAGUUCACCUUCAUAGGGAACAAGGGUCUGAUUACCACCGGAGAGGGCAUGUACUUAAAGAGCAUGGUCUGGGGACACCUGGGUGGCUUAGCGGUUGAGCGUCUGCCUUUGGCUCAGGGCGUGAUCCUGGGAUCUAGGAUGGAGUCCUGCAUCGGGCUCCCUGUGAGGAGCCUGCUUCUCCCUCUGUGCCU
Long non-coding RNA from Canis lupus familiaris (dog), 2424 nucleotides. RefSeq lists it as uncharacterized. Lineage: Eukaryota; Metazoa; Chordata; Mammalia; Carnivora; Canidae. The transcript has 4 exons. The record is from RefSeq and is a predicted model, not a curated record.